UAUUUAACUUGAUCAAAAGUAAACACAAUUUGAUUGCCAUAUAAAAUGUUAACUGUUAUUAUUAAAUUUCUUCAACUUGUAACUCGUAACAAUUAACUAUUUGAUCAGUGAAUUACGAUGGAAAACCAGUUAAUCCAUUUUGAAGAGUUGAUUAAAUUUCGAUUGAAAAAAAAUUCAACAAAAUCAAAAAAAAAGAAUCGAAAUCAAGUUAUGACUAAAGAAGACACUAGAUGUCAGUGUGAUAGAAGAAAAAAAAAAUUUCAAAUUUUUGUGGUUUCAGUUUUAAUCUGUUAAUUUAUUUUGAUUGUUAAAUUGUUUUCUUUUCCAUGUCUCCAACAAUUUACUAAGAAUGAUUUACCUUUUCUUGGUUUACCUUUGCUGGUCUAUUCUUAUUUGCUGGGUUAAAUGUUAUUGAUCGUUUUGGAGAAGGCGUCAAAUUGUCAUAUGGAAAAUGGUGUUUGAUUGUUAUGGAGAAGGCUAAACAUGUAAAUCAAGCUUUCAAUGGUUUUUCUUGUUUUGGUAUCAUAACAAUGGUCAUAACCUAAUAGUUGAGCUGUGGUACUUUAUCAUUCUCCUUGUAGGCCCAGGGAGUCUUGGUGAUUAAAAGCACCAUUGACACCACAUGAGGUGUUUACAUUGACCUUACCACAGAGUCGUUUAGACAUCUAACCUGAUAACAGUUAAAGUUAAAUUUCUUUUCUUUUCCGUUUUCACAGUGAUAAUCAUCAAUAUUAUCAUCCUCAUCAUCAUCAUUACAAGAAACUGGAGAGAGAGAGAGAGAAAUGGAGGCAGGAGAGAAAAUUUAACAAAGCAGUUUGAAGGAUGAUAAGAGAAGAUGAAAACCUUAAAGUUAUCCUUAAUAAAGGUACUUUUCUACUCUGGUACGGAUGAAAUUUAUCGGCCCUUUAGCUCCCGUUGAAGUUUUUUUUUCUUCUCUUUUCACAUCGGACAAACAACCCAGAUACAUACGGAUAUUUAUCGUUUGUCACCUUUACAACACAUACCAUUUAGAUGUAAAACAAAACCCACUAAAGAUAUCAUCUCAUCAGGGAAGAAGACAAGUAUGGAUGUAGGAGAAAGGCAGAAUUUUGAUCAAUUUCAUCUUUGGUCUUUGCCUACAAUUGUUUGCUUCCUGUGGAUCACAUCAUUUCGUUGUUUCUUUCUCAUCAUCAUCAUGCUCAUCCAUUGAUAAAUCAGCAAGCAACAAGCAAAUCAAAGGAAAAAAAUAGAGGAAUCAAAAGCAUAACAAAAAGGUCGGAGGUGGAGAGCUAUUGAUGAUAAUUGAUGGUUUCAAA
Molecule: long non-coding RNA, 1295 nt
Organism: Panonychus citri (citrus red mite)
Lineage: Eukaryota; Metazoa; Arthropoda; Arachnida; Trombidiformes; Tetranychidae
Exons: 2
Source: RefSeq, a predicted model, not a curated record